UUCAAGAUGAGCUUGUCCAAAAAUUGUUACCUCUGCCAAGGGUGCCUCUGGUCCUAUGGUGGAGAAGGGCAGGUAUAAAAGGCAGCUCAAGUCCCUGCUCUCUCAUCCACUUCUCUUGCCUCUUUCUGCUUGGGAACCAGGGUAACCAGGCUGCUCCUCACCCUCUCUUGUGCUCUGCUUCUCUCCAAGUUUCAUCUCCACUCUCAAGACAUGUCCUGCUACAACCAGUGCCUGCCCUGCCGGCCCUGUGGCCCAAUCCCACUGGCCAACAGCUGCAAUGAGCCCUGUUGCAGGCAGUGCCAGGACUCCAGAGUUGUCAUCGAGCCUCCUGCUGUGGUGGUGACCCUGCCUGGCCCCAUCCUCAGCUCCUUCCCACAGAACACCAUUGUGGGCUCCUCCAUCUCUGCUGCUAUUGGCAGAAUCCUCAGCUGUGAUGGAGUGCCCAUCAACUCUGGCUGCUGUGACCUGUCUGGUAUUUCCAGCCGCUACUUUGGCAGAAGGUACCUGCGCUGAUGAAGAUUUUGGGAAAGGCCCAGGGAGACAUGCUGAGGAACUCAAAACAUGGUAGUGGGCAUAGGAUCAAGAUUUUGGAUGUGUUUUCAAGUAUAGCUGAAUGGCUUUGCCUGUCUUUCCUUUAUCUUUGAUUGCUUUGGUUCCUCUUGGCAAUGAGGUUCCCUCAGGGCCAGUCUGGUGGGGAGCAUCUGUCUCCUCUCCCUCUAUGAGGCAGGCAGAUGAACUUAUGUAUGAACUUCUUCACAACCAUGGAUGGCAGAAUUUUGGAUUCCUCUGGGGAUUCCUGCACUGCUGUCCUCCACUUGCAGUGACUUUGUUUCCCUCUUUUGACUCAUUAAAGUUCUGCUGCAUUCAA
RNA transcript from Columba livia (rock pigeon), 868 nucleotides. RefSeq lists it as uncharacterized. The transcript is spliced from 2 exons. Lineage: Eukaryota; Metazoa; Chordata; Aves; Columbiformes; Columbidae. The record is from RefSeq and is a predicted model, not a curated record.